GCUUGCAUUUAGCCGUAAAUCGCUUGCAAAUAAAUCAAGCGGGGAAAUGUCGCUAAACACCCGUGCCACCUGUGACCUGAAGCGAUAACUUCCAUGAUACAGCAGCAUGCCUUGACAAUAUUGUGGCUACAAGAGUCUCAGGCCAACUUACGUUUAAAUCCAAUAUCUAUUCACCCUUUGUUUGCCUGUCUUGGCUUUUGACAGUUCUUCCAUGAGGAAUUUUUCAGCAAACAGACGCGCUGCACCCUUAAUUAAAGUAAGACCGUAAAGUGAAGUAGAGAGAACCGUGCAAACAUCUCAUCACAGAGAGAACCUUUGUCUACUCGAGUUUUAUUUCUUCGCCUUUCCUGUUUUUGACAAAUAGAAAAGCCAUAGCGCGGAACAGUGUGUGUUUAGACGUGGAAACUCAUUAACAUCCUGUUUCUAAUUAUUUUUCUAUGAGACUGUCUUGGAUCGUUAAGAGCUAUGAGAAUAGUGAAACAAUCAACGAUACAGUUAGGAAUGGCACGGGUGCGCAAAAAAGGCAUCAAGACGAAAUUCAUGUGCAUGCCUGAAUGUCCAAUAAAAAGGAGAAAUAUCAAAAGGGAAUAAUUGGCCGCAGAUCAAGGGCAAGCCGCGCGAGCGCAUACUGGGCUCAAGACAAAAAGGACUCGGACGGCUUGAUUUACCCGACAAUCGUCAUGCAAACCAAGUGCUAGGACACUAUCCAUCAUUCCGAGCAAUGCGCUACAGCUAGCUGAUGGCUAGACGAAAACAAAAUGGAUAACCUAACCACCAGCUGACUUGUGAUUAGUUAUCGAAAUGCAAGGGGGUAUCAGUACUUGAUGCUCGACGUACCGCGAAGAGAGUUCCAUGGUAGAGGUGCCAUCAAAAGCAGAGUUAAAAUAUAGUGCGUUGGGGUUGCAAAGAGCAGAACACUGACAUGAUGCCGCAUAAUAAUAAAAAUCAGCAGUGCAAAAUUAUACAAUUGCGCACACAAGAGAACCAAAGACAACAAAGAAAUAACGAUCAUAUCAACUUCGGGAUUGAGAGCAAGUGAGGGCUCCUAAAAGUGGGGCCCUUUUUCAGAUGUACUCUUUUACACUAUUUAGGUGAACAUUCAAGCACAUUCGCGUAAAAACUAGAAAGUUAAUUGCAUCAAACAUAACAAAGAGGGCAAACUUGGCACGUGGAAAAUCAGACCAGCCAUGUGUAAAAAAAAACUGAAAAUGUAUCUCGUCUAGUAAUUAAAGAUUUUCUGCCUCAAAACGUCUAAAACAUAGGCUAAAACAACUAAAUAAAUAGACUAGAACUGAAAA
Molecule: long non-coding RNA, 1298 nt
Organism: Nematostella vectensis (starlet sea anemone)
Lineage: Eukaryota; Metazoa; Cnidaria; Anthozoa; Actiniaria; Edwardsiidae
Exons: 2
Source: RefSeq, a predicted model, not a curated record